ACGCGAGCUGGGUUCAGAACGUCGUGAGACAGUUCGGUCCCUAUCCGUCGCAGGCGUAGGAAAUUUGAGAAGACCUGUCCUUAGUACGAGAGGACCGGGAUGGACGUACCUCUGGUGUACCAGUUGUUCUGCCAAGGGCAUGGCUGGGUAGCUGUGUACGGAAUGGAUAAGCGCUGAAAGCAUCUAAGCGCGAAGCCAACUUCAAGAUAAGAUUUCCCACCGCAAGGGUAAGACCCCAGAAAGACUAUCUGGUUGAUAGGUCGAAGGUGUAAGUGCAGCAAUGUAUUUAGCUUAUCGAUACUAAUAGGUCGAGGACUUGACCAAU
RNAcentral lists this ribosomal RNA (325 nucleotides) under Clostridioides difficile. RNAcentral's name for it is "bacterial LSU rRNA". It matches the Rfam family "Bacterial large subunit ribosomal RNA", at positions 2598 to 2925 of the family's 2925-position model. The record is from RNAcentral. Lineage: Bacteria; Bacillati; Bacillota; Clostridia; Peptostreptococcales; Peptostreptococcaceae.